Molecule: ribosomal RNA, 339 nt
Filed under: uncultured bacterium
Lineage: Bacteria
Description: bacterial SSU rRNA
Rfam family: Bacterial small subunit ribosomal RNA
Source: RNAcentral
GGCCGCGGGAAUUCGAUUCAGGCCUAACACAUGCAAGUCGAACGGCAGCACGGAGCUUGCUCUGGUGGCGAGUGGCGAACGGGUGAGUAAUAUAUCGGAACGUACCCUAGAGUGGGGGAUAACGUAGCGAAAGUUACGCUAAUACCGCAUACGAUCUACGGAUGAAAGUGGGGGAUCGCAAGACCUCAUGCUCGUGGAGCGGCCGAUAUCUGAUUAGCUAGUUGGUAGGGUAAAAGCCUACCAAGGCAUCGAUCAGUAGCUGGUCUGAGAGGACGACCAGCCACACUGGAACUGAGACACGGUCCAGACUCCUACGGGAGGCAGCAGUGGGGAAUUUUG